CGAAAAUAAAGAGCACUGUUUGACGAAUGGAAUACGGUAUUCAUAUUUCAACAGAUUUUAACAUAGAGCAUAGAUCUAAUAAUGUGGAUGGAGUAUUGAAGUGAGAGCAUUGACGGCACCAACUUGAAUAUCCCAAGGACUACAGCUACAGGUUCAAUAACGAAUAUGCCAGAGGUAUCAGUGGUAAUACAUCUUACCUGAAACUGAAUUAUUUCACAUUCGAUAAAUACAACCGAACAAUGAAAGCUGCAAAUGUGGAAUUCGAUUUCCUGGGGGAAACUGUAGACAAAAACAACAACGCUAUUGAUGUGAUUUUCCAUUUUUCCAUAUUCAAGUCGAAUCAGUAUAGAAAGACUCCAAUAGCAUUUCCUGCGAAACUAUGCGACAUUCUAGGGACGGAACAAUUUGACAUACCAAACAUAACGAAGAAUUCCACACUUCGGAAUUGUCCCGUUCGCAAGGGUCACCACUAUAUGUACAACGUAAUGUUAACGUCUAAUGGAUGGCCAAAAUCUCUACCCGCGGGAAGGUUUCUCUUGGAUGUGAAAUUUAUGUAUAAAAAUGUGAUGAUUAUUCAAAUCGAAUGGUUUCUGGAAAUAAUAACUCUGUAAUAAGAGUUCACACUUAUGAAUAAGUGUUAAUGAAGUACUGUUCAAAAAUAAAUUUCAAAAAUUUGUG
RNAcentral lists this unclassified non-coding RNA (678 nucleotides) under Leptinotarsa decemlineata (Colorado potato beetle). RNAcentral's name for it is "uncharacterized LOC111517969, transcript variant X2". Lineage: Eukaryota; Metazoa; Arthropoda; Insecta; Coleoptera; Chrysomelidae. The record is from RNAcentral.